GGCGUGGUAGCCAAGUGGUAAGGCAGAGGUCUGCAAAACCUCUAUUCACCGGUUCGAAUCCGGUCCACGCCUCCA
RNAcentral lists this transfer RNA (75 nucleotides) under Lentisphaerota bacterium. RNAcentral describes it as "Lentisphaerae bacterium (anaerobic digester metagenome) tRNA-Cys". It matches the Rfam family "tRNA". From Rfam's summary of the family: Transfer RNA (tRNA) molecules are approximately 80 nucleotides in length. Their secondary structure includes four short double-helical elements and three loops (D, anti-codon, and T loops). Further hydrogen bonds mediate the characteristic L-shaped molecular structure. tRNAs have two regions of fundamental functional importance: the anti-codon, which is responsible for specific mRNA codon recognition, and the 3' end, to which the tRNAs corresponding amino acid is attached (by aminoacyl-tRNA synthetases). tRNAs cope with the degeneracy of the genetic code in two manners: having more than one tRNA (with a specific anti-codon) for a particular amino acid; and 'wobble' base-pairing, i.e. permitting non-standard base-pairing at the 3rd anti-codon position. Lineage: Bacteria; Pseudomonadati; Lentisphaerota. The record is from RNAcentral.